Molecule: ribosomal RNA, 450 nt
Filed under: uncultured bacterium
Lineage: Bacteria
Description: bacterial SSU rRNA
Rfam family: Bacterial small subunit ribosomal RNA
Source: RNAcentral
UAGGGAAUUGUUCGCAAUGGGCGCAAGCCUGACGACGCAACGCCGCGUGGAGGAUGAAGAUCUUCGGGUCGUAAACUCCUUUCGAUCGAGACGAAUGAUCCUGGGGUGAACAAUCCCGGGAAAUGACGGUACCGAGAGAAGAAGCCCCGGCUAACUCCGUGCCAGCAGCCGCGGUAAUACGGGGGGGGCAAGCGUUGUUCGGAAUUACUGGGCGUAAAGGGCUCGUAGGCGGCCAACUAAGUCAGACGUGAAAUCCCUCGGCUUAACCGGGGAACUGCGUCUGAUACUGGAUGGCUUGAGUGUGGGAGAGGGAUGCGGAAUUCCAGGUGUAGCGGUGAAAUGCGUAGAUAUCUGGAGGAACACCGGUGGCGAAGGCGGCAUCCUGGACCAUAACUGACGCUGAUGAGCGAAAGCCAGGGGAGCAAACGGGAUUAGAUACCCGCGUAGUCC